GGAGGAGCAAGCCGAUCGGUGACGGCGCUCGUCUCGAAAACGAGUGAGCGGUGAAGGCCGCCUUAUGGGUUCGACUCCCCUCUCCUCCGC
RNAcentral lists this transfer RNA (90 nucleotides) under Actinomadura madurae. RNAcentral's name for it is "tRNA-Ser(cga)". It matches the Rfam family "tRNA". Rfam says of the family: Transfer RNA (tRNA) molecules are approximately 80 nucleotides in length. Their secondary structure includes four short double-helical elements and three loops (D, anti-codon, and T loops). The record is from RNAcentral. Lineage: Bacteria; Bacillati; Actinomycetota; Actinomycetes; Streptosporangiales; Thermomonosporaceae.